This 113-nucleotide ribosomal RNA is filed under the name Salmonella enterica subsp. enterica serovar Bovismorbificans. RNAcentral's name for it is "partial 23S ribosomal RNA". The stretch from base 1 to 101 matches the Rfam family "Bacterial large subunit ribosomal RNA", at positions 2825 to 2925 of the family's 2925-position model. Lineage: Bacteria; Pseudomonadati; Pseudomonadota; Gammaproteobacteria; Enterobacterales; Enterobacteriaceae. RNAcentral also lists the same sequence under 1 other name. The record is from RNAcentral.
UCCUGAAGGAACGUUGAAGACGACGACGUUGAUAGGCCGGGUGUGUAAGCGCAGCGAUGCGUUGAGCUAACCGGUACUAAUGAACCGUGAGGCUUAACCCUACAACGCCGAAG